RNAcentral lists this ribosomal RNA (460 nucleotides) under uncultured Methylomirabilota bacterium. Its description in RNAcentral is "bacterial SSU rRNA". It matches the Rfam family "Bacterial small subunit ribosomal RNA", at positions 977 to 1434 of the family's 1533-position model. The record is from RNAcentral. Lineage: Bacteria; Methylomirabilota (SeqCode).
GGGCUUGACAUCCCACGAACCUGCCCGAAAAGGUGGGGUGCCCGCAAGGGAGCGUGGAGACAGGUGGUGCAUGGCUGUCGUCAGCUCGUGUCGUGAGAUGUUGGGUUAAGUCCCGCAACGAGCGCAACCCUCACCCCUAGUUGCCACCGGGUUAAGCCGAGCACUCAAGGGGAACUGCCAGCGUCAAGCUGGAGGAAGGCGGGGAUGACGUCAAGUCAUCAUGCCCCUUACGCCCUGGGCUACACACGUGCUACAAUGGCCAGUACAAAGGGACGCGAGACUGCGAAGUGGAGCUAAUCCCAAAAAGCUGGUCUAAGUUCAGAUUGCAGUCUGCAACUCGACUGCAUGAAGGAGGAAUCGCUAGUAAUCGCGUACCAGCCCGGCGCGGUGAAUACGUUCCCGGGCCUUGUACACACCGCCCGUCACACCACGAAAGCUGUCUGUACUCGAAGUCGCUGAG